RNAcentral lists this ribosomal RNA (2404 nucleotides) under biogas fermenter metagenome. RNAcentral's name for it is "bacterial LSU rRNA". It matches the Rfam family "Bacterial large subunit ribosomal RNA", at positions 1 to 2421 of the family's 2925-position model. The record is from RNAcentral.
UUAAAUAUAGAAGGGCGUACGGUGGAUGCCUAGGCACUAAGAGCUGAUGAAGGACGCGACUAACAGCGAAAUGCUUCGGGGAGUGGUACGUACACAAAGAUCCGGAGAUAUCCGAAUGGGGCAACCCAAUGCUGGUAAUGCAGCAUUACACACAAGUGAAUAAAUAGCUUGUGAUGAGGCAACCUUGCGAAUUGAAACAUCUUAGUAGCAAGAGGAAAAGAAAGAAAAAUCGAUUCCCUGAGUAGCGGCGAGCGAAACGGGAAGAGCCCAAACCGACCUUAGGGUCGGGGUAGUAGGACCACGAUAUGGGAUUAAAGAAGACUAGUUGAAUGGCAUUGAAAGGCCAGCCGAAGAAGGUGCAAGCCCUGUAAACGAAAGUUUGAUUUACCCUAGUGGUAUCCUGAGUACGGCGAGGCACGAGAAACCUUGUCGGAAUCAUCCAGGACCACCUGGAAAGGCUAAAUACUCCUUAGUGACCGAUAGUGAACCAGUACCGUGAGGGAAAGGUGAAAAGAACCGCUGGCGCGGAGUGAAAUAGAACCUGAAACCGUAUGCUUACAAAAAGUCAGAGCCCGUUAAAGGGUGAUGGCGUGCCUUUUGCAUAAUGAACCGGCGAGUUACUGAUAUUGUGCGAGGUUAAAUCGAGAAGAUGGAGCCGUAGCGAAAGCGAGUCUUAAUAGGGCGCUUUAGUACAAUGUCGUAGACCCGAAACGAAGUGAUCUAUCCAUGGGCAGGUUGAAGUUUGGGUGAAACCAAAUGGAGGACCGAACCCACUGAUGUUGAAAAAUCAGGGGAUGACCUGUGGAUAGGGGUGAAAAGCCAAACGAACUUCGAGAUAGCUGGUUCUCCCCGAAAUAGCUUUAGGGCUAGCGUCAAAAGGAUUCCGUUGGAGGUAGAGCACUGAAUGUAUGACGGCCACAUCUCGUGGUACUGAUUAUAAUCAAACUCCGAAUGCCAACGGGUAAAUAUUUGGCAGUCAGACUGUGGGUGAUAAUGUCCAUAGUCGAGAGGGAAACAGCCCAGACCGUCAGUUAAGGUCCCUAAAUUCAUGCUAAGUGGAAAAGGAGGUGGGGAUGCACAGACAGCUAGGAGGUUGGCUUAGAAGCAGCCAUCCUUUAAAGAGUGCGUAACAGCUCACUAGUCGAGUGCCCCUGCGCCGAAAAUGUACCGGGGCUAAGCAUGAUACCGAAACUACGGACUUAUAGAUUAAUCUAUGGGUGGUAGGGGAGCGUUCUAUACCGCGUUGAAGAUGUACCGUGAGGAGCGUUGGAGCGUAUAGAAGUGAGAAUGCCGGUGUGAGUAGCGAGAUGUCAGUGAGAAUCUGACACACCGAUUGCCUAAGGAUUCCAGGGGAAGGCUCGUCCUCCCUGGGUAAGUCGGGACCUAAGACGAGGCUGAAAAGCGUAGUCGAUGGCCAACAGGUUGAUAUUCCUGUACCCGAUCACAAGUGAAGGAAUGACAGAGAAGGCUAACUUAAGCGCACGAAUGGAAGAGUGCGUCCAAGCGGAAUAGUAGUAUGGUAGGCAAAUCCGCCAUAUAAUACGAGGCCGUGAUGGGGAGCGAACCCGUGAGGAAGUAGCGAAGUGAGCGAUGCCAGCUCUCAAGAAAAGUUUCUAGCGUUAAUUGUGAUACGGCCCGUACCAAAACCGACACAGGUAGGCAGGUAGAGAAUACCAAGGUGAGCGAGAGAACUGUUGUCAAGGAACUCGGCAAAAUGGCCCCGUAACUUCGGGAGAAGGGGCGCUCUUGAAAGAGAGCCGCAGUGAAAAGGCCCGAACGACUGUUUAUCUAAAACAUAGCUCUCUGCUAAGCCGCAAGGCGAUGUAUAGGGGGUGACGCCUGCCCGGUGCUGGAAGGUUAAGGGGACGUGUUAGACUUUGGUCGAAGCACAGAACUGAAGCCCCAGUGAACGGCGGCCGUAACUAUAACGGUCCUAAGGUAGCGAAAUUCCUUGUCGGGUAAGUUCCGACCCGCACGAAAGGCGCAACGAUUUGGGCGCUGUCUCGACAACAGACUCGGUGAAAUCUUAGUACCGGUGAUAAUGCCGGUUACCCGCAACUAGAAGGAAAGACCCCAUGGAGCUUUACUGUAGCUUGAUAUUGAGCUUUGAGUAUACAUGUACAGGAUAGGUGGGAGACGAAGAAGUGUGGACGCUAGUCUACAUGGAGUCACAACUGGGAUACCACUCUUGUAUACUUGAAGUUCUAACCGCGAUCCGUGAUCCGGAUUCGGGACAGUGUCAGGUGGGCAGUUUGACUGGGGCGGUCGCCUCCUAAAAAGUAACGGAGGCGCCCAAAGGUACACUCAGAUUGGUUGGAAAUCAAUCGACGAGCGUAAAGGCAGAAGUGUGCUUGACUGCGAGACCUACAAGUCGAGCAGGGACGAAAGUCGGGCUUAGUGAUCC